This 20-nucleotide microRNA is filed under the name Bombyx mori (domestic silkworm). RNAcentral's name for it is "bmo-miR-2825". The record is from miRBase by way of RNAcentral. Lineage: Eukaryota; Metazoa; Arthropoda; Insecta; Lepidoptera; Bombycidae.
CAGGAUCACGAAGAAGCUAU